Molecule: long non-coding RNA, 1357 nt
Organism: Brassica oleracea var. oleracea
Lineage: Eukaryota; Viridiplantae; Streptophyta; Magnoliopsida; Brassicales; Brassicaceae
Exons: 3
Source: RefSeq, a predicted model, not a curated record
UAACCCUCUUUCUCUCACCGCUGUUGAUCAUCUCCUCUCUGUCCUCGAUCCGCUUCUCUCAUGGGGCCAUAGACGCACACUGCGACACUGGUCCCUGGUCUCAACUUCACCUGCCUCCGUCUCCAUGGACGGAUCGAAGGAAAUGUCAACGAGCUCUGUGCUCAACUCGAGAAAUCUAGGCCGAUAAAAGUUGAAUCUGGAAAUUCCAACAAGAAGAAGAGAAGAUCUGAUUACGAUUCGCCCCAUGCUGCUCCUGUACGAAGAAGGUACAUUGAUAUGAACGAUGAUACUGACGGAGGAGAAGACCGAAUUGGGGUGUUCAGGAGAAAGCUAUCUGAUGAUUUUGAUAGAAUCGUUGGAGAGAUGACAACCAAAGCCAAUAAGAAAUCAAUUAAAUCUGGUUUACUGCUAACAUCUAAUUUUUGAACGUUUUGUUUAUUCAGAUUUAUAGCUCUAUGAGAUUUUCUACGAACAUAGAAAGUGAACAGGAACACAAGAUUUGGGAUCAGUGGAGAAUCUUCAGAUCUUUGUAAGCUAUUAUUGAAUGGAAAGAUGUGCUGCAGUGGACACUGUUUCUCUUGUGGCUCGAAUACUGCAUAAAUCAAAGGCUCUUCUUCAAUCCAUGCUUAUGUCAAGAAAUGGCUCUUUGGUUGAAGACUUCUUUGGUCAACUGGUUGGUUCCGUACCUGAUCUGACAGAGCACUUACACAUGAGAACUGCGAGGAUCCUGCGGCAUGUUAAUGGGUAAAUUGCCAAUCUACUUAAGAAAUUUAUUAGAUGUCUGUGACAAAAAAAAAGUUAUUAGAUGGAUUCAAUCUCUAUCCUCCCUUUUGUGCCUUUUAUUCUUAUUCUUACUGGCCUCUGGAUUUAAAAAAAAACUGUUAUAUAACUUUUUAACUCAAUCGCUAUGUUAAAGUCAAGCCUUGGUUUUGUAUGAUAUAUGUUCUCAUUGGAGUAUGUCGACCGGAUUGCUAACUGAUAGAGAGCGGAAGCCGUAUGAGUCAAAGAUCUAGGGUUUGAUCUCGAACUCGCGUAACUUGUGAACGAAGGUAUCUUCGAAGACAAGAUGAAGGAUGCGAAUACUCUUCGCAGUGCUUGUUAAAAGCUCUUAGGGGCGCGAAUACUCUUCGCAGUGCUUGUGAAAGCUCUUUAAAAUAAACUCAGAAAUCUUAUUCAAUUAAUCGUGUCUCUUUUUCAAAGACUAAAGCCGCUAUUUAUAAGGCUGAUAUAGUUAAAACCCUAAGCUAUAAAGGAAAGUUUAUAAUUAGCUAAUCCUAGUAAUAAAAGGAAACUUAGAACACACGUAAAGCCCAAAAGAAGAAAGGCCACGAUACUGGCGGUGAAAGAGAUAAUGCGC